Callithrix jacchus (white-tufted-ear marmoset) is the source of this 73-nucleotide small nucleolar RNA. The record is from Ensembl. Lineage: Eukaryota; Metazoa; Chordata; Mammalia; Primates; Cebidae.
GUCCUUUUGUAGUUCUUCAGCGGGAUGGUUGGGUGUUCAUGCUCCUAUGUGAGAUCUGGUCCCCUCAAACCUC